GUAUAGGCGAUAGAAAUUUUUACCCUGGCACAAUAGACAUAGCACCGUAAGGGAAAGAUGAAAGAACUGUAUCAAGCACUAAAAAGCAAAGACAAGCCCUUAUACCUUCUGCAUAAUGUAUUAACUAGAAAUAACUAUACACAGAGAACUUUAGCCAAGUCCCCCGAAACCAGAUGAACUACUCAAGAACAGCUGAAAGAGCACACUCACCUAUGUGGCAAAAUAGUGGGAAGAUGCAUGAGUAGUGGUCACAAGCCUACCAAGCCUGUUGAUAGCUGGUUGUCCAAGAUAGAAUCUUAGUUCAGCUUUAAACUUACCCACAGAAUUACUUAAUCUCCCUGUAAGUUUAACUGUUAGUCUAAAGAGGGACAGCUCUUUAGACCCUAGGAAACAACCUUCCUACAGAGAGUAAAAAAUAUUACCACCAUAGUUGGCCCAAAAGCAGCCACCGAUUAAGAAAGCGUUUAAGCUCAACAGCUAACUAUCUUAAAUUCUAAUCAGUCUACUGAACUCCUAACAUCACAUUGGACUAAUCUAUUACUUAAUAAAAGCAAUAAUGUUAAUGUAAGUAACAUGAAGACAUUCUCCAUUGCAUAAGCUUACAUCAGACCAGAAUAACCCACUGACAGUUAACAGCCUAAUAUUAAUAACCGAUAUAAUAAGCACCCUAUUAUUUACACUGUUAACCCAACACAGGUAUGCUCUAAGGAGAGAUUACAAAAAGUAAAAGGAAUUCAGCAAAUCUUACCCUGCUUGUUUACCAAAAAUAUCACCUCUAGCAUUACCAGCAUUAGAGUCACUGCCUGACCAGUGACAUAUGUUCAACAGCCGCGGUAUCCUGACCAUGCAAAGGUAGCAUAAUCACUUGUUCCCUAAAUAGGGACUUGUAUGAAUGGCCAUAUGAAGGUUCAGCUGUCUCUUACUUUUAAUCAGUGAAAUUGACCUAUUCAUGAAGAGGCGGAUAUAAACAAAUAAGACGAGAAAACCCUAUGGAGCUUUAAUUCAUUAAUGCAAAUAAAAACUCAAACAAGCCUACAGGCCCUAGCCUACUAUCCCUGCAUUAAAAAAUUUGGUAGGGGUGAACUUGGAGCAUAAUUCAACCUCCAAACAACCUAAACUAAGAUCGCACUAGUCUUAGUGAGUUAAUACACAUUGACCCAAUAAUUUGAUCAACGGAAUAAGUUACCUUAGGGAUAGCAGCGCAAUCCCAUUCUAGAAUCCAUAUUGACAAUAGAGUUUACAACCUCGAUGUUGGAUCAGGACAUCCUAACGGUGUAGCCGCUAUUAAGAACAGUGUAGCCGCUAUUAAGGGUUCGUUUAGCAGUAGGGACGGGGGUUCUACAACUAAGUGAGUAACAUCCUACCUGCUAUAUACCUCUUUAAUAUGUGGGUAUAUCCUCUCAACUGUAUCUCUAGCUCCUUGGAGGAAGCAGGUUUGAUAUAAGAGAAAUGAAAAUAUGUAAAUGGAAGAUUAAGGUCUGGUUGAGGUGUAACAAUUUUUAUUCUGUUUUCAGUCCAUAUUC
Molecule: ribosomal RNA, 1523 nt
Filed under: Pan troglodytes (chimpanzee)
Lineage: Eukaryota; Metazoa; Chordata; Mammalia; Primates; Hominidae
Description: Bacterial large subunit ribosomal RNA
Source: Rfam by way of RNAcentral